GGGGCCGUAGUCUAGCCUGGUAGGAUGCGCGGUUCGGGUCCGCGUGACCCCGGGUUCAAAUCCCGGCGGCCCCACCA
This 77-nucleotide transfer RNA is filed under the name Pyrobaculum calidifontis JCM 11548. RNAcentral describes it as "tRNA-Pro (CGG) (tRNA-Pro-CGG-1-1)". It matches the Rfam family "tRNA". From Rfam's summary of the family: Transfer RNA (tRNA) molecules are approximately 80 nucleotides in length. Their secondary structure includes four short double-helical elements and three loops (D, anti-codon, and T loops). RNAcentral also lists the same sequence under 1 other name. The record is from RNAcentral. Lineage: Archaea; Thermoproteati; Thermoproteota; Thermoprotei; Thermoproteales; Thermoproteaceae.